UGAACGCUGGCGGCGUGCCUAAUACAUGCACGUCGAGCGAACGGACGAGAAGCUUGCUUCUCUGAUGUUAGCGGCGGACGGGUGAGUAACACGUGGAUAACCUACCUAUAAGACUGGGAUAACUUCGGGAAACCGGAGCUAAUACCGGAUAAUAUUUUGAACCGCAUGGUUCAAAAGUGAAAGACGGUCUUGCUGUCGCUUAUAGAUGGAUCCGCGCUGCAUUAGCUAGUUGGUAAGGUAACGGCUUACCAAGGCAACGAUGCAUAGCCGACCUGAGAGGGUGAUCGGCCACACUGGAACUGAGACACGGUCCAGACUCCUACGGGAGGCAGCAGUAGGGAAUCUUCCGCAAUGGGCGAAAGCCUGACGGAGCAACGCCGCGUGAGUGAUGAAGGUCUUCGGAUCGUAAAACUCUGUUAUUAGGGAAGAACAUAUGUGUAAGUAACUGUGCACAUCUUGACGGUACCUAAUCAGAAAGCCACGGCUAACUACGUG
RNAcentral lists this ribosomal RNA (495 nucleotides) under uncultured bacterium. RNAcentral describes it as "partial 16S ribosomal RNA". It matches the Rfam family "Bacterial small subunit ribosomal RNA", at positions 30 to 507 of the family's 1533-position model. The record is from RNAcentral.